Molecule: long non-coding RNA, 4392 nt
Filed under: Sus scrofa (pig)
Lineage: Eukaryota; Metazoa; Chordata; Mammalia; Artiodactyla; Suidae
Description: lncRNA (ENSSSCG00030045297.1)
Source: RNAcentral
GGGGGGGGGCGCAGAGCGUGUGUCACUCGCUCUCUCGCUCGGUGUCUAGAGGAUGUGCUGAAUGGUGAGCCGGGAGGCGGCGGCGGCCGAGGAGCGGUAUACGGAGGCGGCUGGCAGCCCGGGCAGCCCGGCUCGGCGGCUCUUCGCCCUCCGAGACUCCGCAUCCACCGCGGGCGCCCGACCCCGCGUCCCGCCCGGGCAUGGCCCGGCGCCUCGCCCGCGAGCGCCCCGCCUGCUAAGCCACGCCGGAGGAGGUGCGGAGGCCGAGAAGCCGGCGAGGGAGCAGACGCGAGAACCUCCGGAGCCGAGAAGGGAGCCCCGCGCCCCGCGCCCCGUCCCUGCCGCGCUCGCCCGGGCCGCCCAGAGCCCCGAUGAGCCCUGAUGGCCGGGGCUCAGCCGGGAGUGCACGCUCUGCAACUCAAGCCCGUGUGCGUGUCCGACAGCCUCAAGAAGGGCACCAAAUUCGUCAAGUGGGAUGAUGACUCCACUAUUGUCACUCCAAUUAUUUUGAGGACUGACCCUCAGGGAUUUUUCUUUUACUGGACCGAUCAAAACAAGGUAAGAAGUAAACCAUGUCUUAUUUUUUCCAGUUAGUUGCUGAUUUGCAAAGGGUUUAUCUUUCUAUCCAUUUCAUGGAUGACUUUUUGCAGUAUAUUUAAAGAUUCUACUUAAAAAGAAUAUCUAAGGUGGAAAAGUCUUGGGAUUUUCCAAAGACUAGAGUUUGAAAUAGUAGAUGUGCUAAAUUCUAGAAUUUUCAGGACAAGAACAUGGAGCUAUGAAUUACCUUUGUUUUAGAGGGAACUUAGGCAGUAUAACUGAUGUAAGCCCCCCCCUCCAACACUACCCCCUAAAGAAUGAAGAAAAAUGGUGAGAAAGUCACUUUUGAGACUGGUGACUGUAACUGUGGCUUUUUGUUUCCUCUUCCUUCUCCCCUUUGCUGCUUAUUAAGGUUUCUCCCACCUUAGCAGGAAUGUGGCCUUGAUAACUUGUUCACAUUAGAAAAUCAAGGAUAAGACUCCUUGAGCUUGUUUCUUCAACUUUUGGGAGUUUCUUCCCAUUUUAGCUUUCUGCCCACCAUGUUAUGGAUUUAGAAUCUCAUUUAUUAUGAAACCAAUUGAGAUGAUUCCCCAUUGAAUUAUUAAAAAGUAGAAUGUCUGCAGAUCAUAAGAUUUAUCUGGAGUUUAGCGGGCAGUUAGACAAGCCUAUUCAUAGAAAGUGGUUAUUAUUUCAAUAGACAAUGCUAUGGUUCUGCACUUCAACUUGCAAGGCCACAGACCACAGAAUAUUUUGGUCCUGUAAGUUCUGAUACUUGGAAAGAGGGGAGAGGCUUUUUUGAGAAGGCUAAAUCCAUACUGAGACCAAUAAAAUACGAAAUUGUGAUGUGCUCUUUGUCUUUUCACAUCCUAGAGUUAGGUCCCUGAAUCCAAGGUAACUGGUGUUUGUCAACCUAGCUUUCUGCCUUUCAAGGCAGUCUGGAUUUCACCAGUGAGUAGUGGUAUGGAAAUUGCUCUGUGCAAUGGCAUGUUUGGGGUCAAGGUGGAGCCUGGGGAAACUCUUAGGAUGUGGAAAGUAACAUCUGGCCCAUGGAGCCAGGCCUAAGUGGGUCUGUUCAUAUGUCAUCCAAAAGGUAGAUUUGAGCUCUGGGUCCCUGGGGUUAUUUUCUGAAUAUGGGUGCCCUACAGUCAUCUCUGGCCACAGAUGUGGAGCUAAAUAAACCAUAGACCCCCAAACUAAUGUCAAAAAACGUCACUGAGUAAGAUUUCAUACUUACUAGCCUUUUUAAAGGCUGGGUAUUUGUACAAGAGACUAAACUGUCAGUUUGAUUUUUCAACGUGUAAAUCAAGCUUCUUUAAAAGCAACAGAAGGUAUUUUGGGGUUUUUAAAUAAUUCAUAGCCACUCAGUUAAGCUCCCCUUUAAGACCAAUCAUAAAUAUUUCUUUGCUUAAGAAAGAGUUUAGGACCAAAAGCUCUUUGAUGUACCUCUGUUGUUUGAAAAUGUCUUUCGAUUGUUUUAUACGAACCAUUUUCUCUUGGUUGCAGUGCUGUUUAUGACCAAUUGAAACACAUAAUGUGGUAGCCAUACUUCUGAAUCUUUAUUACUUUUCUUUUAUGGGUAUCAAUCUUACAGUUCUAGCCAAGAGAUGGUAAUUUUGUUUUUCACUUUUUAAAAUCAUCCCUCAGUCACAUGUCAGAGUUUGGGGGUUUAUUUUUUAAGUGAAUGAUCACAUAUCAGUAUCUCAAAGAUGAGAGGAUUUAAGAAAAUAAAUCAAACUUUGCGUGACUCCAAGCUUGUCAUUUUCUUCUGGCUUUAAGCCCAGUCCUGGAGCCAGAACAAGUGAGUGUCUCCCACUGCUAGGAGACAGGGGCCUGUAAGUGGUAUAUUAGUGUAAAUGAAUGUGAGAUGGUGCCUACACAUUUGGGGUGACCCGCUGAGCUUUUAGUUCAUGUUUUCGCAUAAGGUUAUUUGAAGGGAUGGGCCGAAUGUUACAAUCACAGUGUUACUUAGAGCUCCACUUUCUUUAAUGACACUUUCUUACUGUUUCUUUCUGACAAUAUUAGUAAUGUGAAUUUAUCACAUGUACUAUAGAGAUUAUGUCUCAGAGGAAAAAAUAUACCUUUUUUUAGUAUUUUCAGACGUAAUGUCAAUUUCAAAAAAGAAUAACGUGUUACAGUAAAUUUUGAGUAAAAUAUGUGGCCACUAAAUAAACACAUGUUGAUAUAAAUUAUUCUCUACAGGAAAAACAGUAAUAAGCCUUCCAUUUUAUCAAGAAAGUUCACAUAGUAUAUUUUACUAUUUCAGUAUGCUCUUUCCUUUAGAUAAUUCUUAUGAUUGAUUGACUUAAAUUUCUUGUUUUUUCUCAAGAGGAAAAAACAUAAUCCCAAAAGGAAAUAAAUAAUAUUCCCUUAUUAUUAUCUAUUACUUUUCCUUUUAAGGAAAAAUGAGGGCAUUGAAUAAAAUGAAUACUAAAUUAACAUUACACCUUAGCUUGGAGCCCAAGCUAAGAUUUAGCGGCACACUUAACUUAUGCACCCAUAUAAUAUUAUAAUAGUCUAUCAUUUUGAUGAAGUCAGUUUGUUCUUUUUUUCUAGAUAUGUACUAAGUGGAGGCAUAUUAAACAGCAUUUUAAAGGCCAAAGCCUGUCCCAAAAAAGUAAAAAAAUAAAACAUUUUGGAAAGAAAACAGGUGGUUGUUACCAUAAUUUUGUACGUCUUUAAAAAAUUAUUGGCAUAAGCUGACUUAGAAAAAAUUUCGUUGGUAUAUAUCGUGUUAGUUUCAGGUGUAUAGCAGAUUAAAUCAGUUGUACAUAUACAUAUACCCAUUCCUUUCCAGAUUCUUUUCCCAUUUAGGUUGUUACACAGCACUAAGGAGACUUUCCUGUGCUAUGCAGUAGGUCCUUGUUGAUUAUUUUAUAUAUAGUAGUCAUCUGAAAAAAUAUACUUUUAAAGUUUAUCCCCUGAUUUCCCCUUUCCCUCGGGGUUUCUGCAUGAGUUGGGAAGCUUGCUUUGCCAUCUGUGUGAUGGGCCUCUCUUCUCCCUGGAGCUUCUUCUUUUUUCUUUGUUCGUGUUUCUCCUUCGUCCCUGAAGCCUGUGCUGAAGUGUUUUGAUUCAUGAUAGCCUGAAGCCUAGCCUGCUCAGAGGCGAGCAGAGUGGCUUAAGAAGUGGCUUCGGACAGUAUUAGGAAUGUGAAUUUAUACAUGUACUAGGCAAAGAAUAUCAUUAUAAGAUCUUUCUUGUUAUAGCACUGGAGGGGGAUCUUACAUUUAACAGUGUCUUAUCCGUGUCCUCUCUCCUGUCGAGGCCGCAUGAUACCAUUGAACCACCAAUUUCAAGCCCCUGGUUUCACUCUCUAGGAACAUUGACAUGCUUCCUUCUGUCUCCCCUCCUUCGAUUUGUCACCAUAGAAAUGAUAGGCGGCAAAGACGACAGACAGCUCAGGUGAUAGAUGUAGGAAUUAAAAACCAGAGCUGGCAAGUGAUUUUUAGGUAGCAGAAAUGUGCUUUGAUGAAACCUUGAAAGAGAUGUUUGGGGUUGGUGGGAACAGAUAAAUAUGAACACUAUCUUAAGGGAUAAAUGUUCUUACCUUGUACCAGCUCUGGGCUCCUUUUAGUCAUUCUUUCCCUUUUAUUCUUGGCUCUGUAAAUCUUAUUGACUGUAAUUAGCAAAAAUGAGUUUCUGAAUAUGACUAUUUUAAGCAUGGUUGUUUUUCCUCUGUCAGUGUGUUAUGUAAAGAGGACCAGUUUAUUUGUAAUCGUGAGUGAGAAGGGGUUCCUUAACAGCCUGCAUUAGGCUAUGACUUUUCUUUGGAGCUAUGCCAUAUCAGGACCACAAACCAAAAUGGGAAGUGUUAGCCAUGAAAACCAUGUUUAUUACAGGAAGACUCUCUGUCAGAGC